GACGAACGCUGGCGGCGUGCUUAACACAUGCAAGUCGAACGGUGAAGCGCCUUCCUUUUUGGUGGGUGUGGAUGAGUGGCGAACGGGUGAGUAACACGUGAGUAACCUGCCCCCUUCUUCUGGAUAACCGCAUGAAAGUGUGGCUAAUACGGGAUAUUCUGGGUCUGUCGCAUGAUGGGUCUGGGAAAGAUAUUGUUUCGGUGGGGGAUGGGCCCGCGGCCUAUCAGCUUGUUGGUGGGGUGAUGGCCUACCAAGGCGGGGACGGGUAGCCGGCCUGAGAGGUUGGCGGGCCGAAGGGGGAGUGGGACACGGCCCGAACGACGACGGGAGGAAGCGGUGGGGAAAGUUACAAGAGGGGAGGAAGCCUGAUGCGGCGGAGCCGCGGGGGGGAGGGGGGCCUUGGGGGUGGAAGCCUUUUGCGCCGGGAAAGGAGGCCGCCCGUGUUUGUGGGGGGGUGGCGGGAAGGGGGAAAGAAGGCCCGGGUAAAUAAGUG
RNAcentral lists this ribosomal RNA (493 nucleotides) under uncultured bacterium. RNAcentral's name for it is "partial 16S ribosomal RNA". It matches the Rfam family "Bacterial small subunit ribosomal RNA", at positions 28 to 507 of the family's 1533-position model. The record is from RNAcentral.